Mugil cephalus (flathead mullet) is the source of this 514-nucleotide long non-coding RNA. RefSeq lists it as uncharacterized. NCBI's taxonomy places the organism in Eukaryota, Metazoa, Chordata, Actinopteri, Mugiliformes, Mugilidae. The record is from RefSeq and is a predicted model, not a curated record. The transcript is spliced from 3 exons.
UUUCCUUUACAAAAAAAAAAAAAAAAAACUGCAUGUGUGAAUAUAUUUAUAUGUGUGUGUGUGUGUUUCACUAAAGUAUUAUAAUAAUAAAUUGUUUUGUGUAUGUAGAGUGCAGACCAGAACCCGCUCACAAGGUGGACAAGGCUACUUGUACCAGCGAAGACGGUGUCUACCCGCUACUCGUCAUACCCGACACGCCAGAAAAGCAAGGCAGACAACCGGCUAACACUAAAGAAGCUGACACUGACGGAGGACCAUCUGGAUCCAAAAUUAGCAUACCAGAAGCACCAGAGAAAGCAGUGACUGACGACUCCAGGCCAUACCCCAGACUGAAGCAUUCCACUAGAAGAAGCGGCAGGAGGAAUACGAGGAGAUCAGCUUCAGGACGUCGGGGUCUAUCGAGAGGGAAGGUUGUGAAAACUUUUUGGAAAAUACUGACUUCUGUUUGUGAAUUGACCUCAGCGUUGACUAGGUAGAGUCGUGUGUGUGUUGUAAUGAUGAAUGAUCAAGGGGA